ACGAACGCUGGCGGCGUGCUUAACACAUGCAAGUCGAACGGAAAGGCCCUGCUUUUGUGGGGUGCUCGAGUGGCGAACGGGUGAGUAACACGUGAGUAACCUGCCCUUGACUUUGGGAUAACUUCAGGAAACUGGGGCUAAUACCGGAUAGGAGCUCCUGCUGCAUGGUGGGGGUUGGAAAGUUUCGGCGGUUGGGGAUGGACUCGCGGCUUAUCAGCUUGUUGGUGGGGUAGUGGCUUACCAAGGCUUUGACGGGUAGCCGGCCUGAGAGGGUGACCGGCCACAUUGGGACUGGGAUACGGCCCAGACUCCUACGGGAGGCAGCAGUGGGGAAUAUUGCACAAUGGGCGGAAGCCUGGUGCAGCAACGCCGCGUGCGGGAUGACGGCCUUCGGGUUGUAAACCGCUUUCGCCUGUGACGAAGCGUGAGUGACGGUAAUGGGUAAAGAAGCACCGGCUAACUACGUG
RNAcentral lists this ribosomal RNA (467 nucleotides) under uncultured bacterium. Its description in RNAcentral is "partial 16S ribosomal RNA". It matches the Rfam family "Bacterial small subunit ribosomal RNA", at positions 29 to 507 of the family's 1533-position model. The record is from RNAcentral.